RNAcentral lists this ribosomal RNA (458 nucleotides) under uncultured bacterium. RNAcentral describes it as "bacterial SSU rRNA". It matches the Rfam family "Bacterial small subunit ribosomal RNA", at positions 28 to 499 of the family's 1533-position model. The record is from RNAcentral.
GACGAACGCUGGCGGCGCGCCUAACACAUGCAAGUCGAACGAGCGAGAGAGAGCUUGCUUUCUCGAGCGAGUGGCGAACGGGUGAGUAACGCGUGAGGAACCUGCCUCAAAGAGGGGGACAACAGUUGGAAACGACUGCUAAUACCGCAUAAGCCUACAGGUCGGCAUCGACCAGAGGGAAAAGGAGCAAUCCGCUUUGAGAUGGCCUCGCGUCCGAUUAGCUAGUUGGUGAGGUAACGGCCCACCAAGGCGACGAUCGGUAGCCGGACUGAGAGGUUGAACGGCCACAUUGGGACUGAGACACGGCCCAGACUCCUACGGGAGGCAGCAGUGGGGAAUAUUGCACAAUGGGGGAAACCCUGAUGCAGCGACGCCGCGUGGAGGAAGAAGGUCUUCGGAUUGUAAACUCCUGUUGUUGAGGAAGAUAAUGACGGUACUCAACAAGGAAGUGACGGCUA